This 1823-nucleotide long non-coding RNA is filed under the name Homo sapiens (human). RNAcentral describes it as "HSALNT0032048". The record is from RNAcentral. Lineage: Eukaryota; Metazoa; Chordata; Mammalia; Primates; Hominidae.
GCAAGUCUGGCUUUCAUGAUUUCACUCCGUGUAUGGGGCUUGUACAAGUGGCUACUGAACACCGGUCAAGACGAUUCACUUUUUAUCACAAGAUGGAAAACUUCCUUCAGUAUGGUUCUAUCUAGAGACGUUUGAAACUAUUGCUUUGCUGAAAACAUCUGACUGCCAGGCUAGGAUGUGACACUUAAGGGACUUACCAAUUUGGGAUUCUUCCAGGAGCUGAAAACUGAUUGCAAAUAUGAAACAGAUUUCACUACAGGACUUGAACCCUACAUUAAAAAACAACAAGCUCCCCAAAAUAAUUGAAAAAGAUCUUCACCAAAGAGUAGCUGCAAUGUGAAUGGCAGGAUAUGAAGCAAGUAAGAGAUGGUGAAAAGAUUAUCUUAAGCUUGGAAUUAAGUGAUGAAAGGGACCUUCGAAAUUAUCAACUCUAAAUACUUCUUUACAGGAAAAUUGAAAGCAGUUAAGAACCUGCCCCCUACCGUGGAGUUCUUGGUGCCGUGAGUUGGAGUUCUUGGUGCCUGGGUGCGUCCCCAAGGCCACUGGUCUUCAGAUCUUUCUUACUUGAGAAGAACGCCUCCGCCUCCUGGCUCUCCCACCAGUGGUAUUGCCACCACCACACACCAGCAUAAAGCACAGAUUGCUGCCCAGCUCCUUGGAGAGGGGCCAGUGCAUUUGUCAGGAAUUGAAAAGUUUUGGAGCCAGUUCGAGGACUUUCUCCUGCACAAAGUGUUGGCUGGAAGCAUGAAGCAAUAACACAUGGUUUGCCAAAGAAUCUGCAUUGAAUAAUACUGGUGGUGACCACAAGAACAUGCCUCUCUGACUGCAAGGAACAAGAGUGACCCAGGGUUUCAGCUGCUGCCUUGGAAAUUCAUCACAGUGCAAGUCUAUGCUUCCCACGGGCUGCUCCCAGCCUGUGAAUAAGCCUGGCAUCUUUGUUGAGGCAGGCCUAUUUCUGGAGAUGCAGGAUCCUCCGAUGGGCGAAUUUGGCUCUAGGACUGCUUGAUGGCCUUGACAGACUUUCCUUAGAAAUGCAUGGCAAUUUAGGGUUCCUCCACCCUUCCCUCUUUCUCUCCUUCACCUAGGGUCGGACUUGCAUCAUGGCCUGAAAGCUCCACCAGCCUCUCCUGCCCUCCUCCUCAUUUUCUUUCACAGGCAUAUCCUCUAAUAAAUUUCUUGCACAUUGAAUCUCAUCUUGGCAUCUACUUAUUGGAGGAUCUGAAAAUUCACAUUUUUAACACAAUAAUAAAAUUCACAUUUUUUCAUCAUCCACUAUAUGCCAAGUAAUGUGUUACUGUGUAGUCUCAUUAAAUCCUCUCAAAUCCAAGAGAUAAGAAUUACAUUUAUUUUACAAGAAGAAAAGCAGUCACUCUGAGAGGUAAAAUAAUGUAUAUGGCAGUAGAUUGCAGAGUUAGCAUUUGAAGAAUGUUCGGUUGUACUCCAAAGCCCACCACAAAACUCCACCACUAAACCACAGCACCUUUGGAGCAAUUGGAAUGACGAUUCUGUUCAAAUCAUAUUAAUACCAAUCACUGUAUUUGACUUUUUCGUUUAGAUGUGGCUGUGAUUGAAAAAUCAUGGUCUUUGUAUAUAGUCACCUGUUCUAUCUGCCUUUGUUUUGGGGGACUGCCACCUGAAAUUCCUGACUUUUACCCUGGGAGGGGCUUGUGCAGAGGAUCUGAGUUACUCAUCUGAACGGACUGCCUAAAGACACCUCAGUUUGUGUUGUCUGUGCAUUCACUCAGCCUCCAUAGCUAAACUAAGAUGCUGGGAAUGAGAGACUGUUCAAGGAGUAGAAGCCUUGCUUCUAGCUUCUAUAUUCC